Molecule: ribosomal RNA, 448 nt
Filed under: uncultured bacterium
Lineage: Bacteria
Description: bacterial SSU rRNA
Rfam family: Bacterial small subunit ribosomal RNA
Source: RNAcentral
UCGAGAAUUUUUCACAAUGGGGGAAACCCUGAUGGAGCGACGCCGCGUGGGGGAUGAAUGGCUUCGGCCCGUAAACCCCUGUCAUUUGCGAACAAACCUUUCCAUCGAACAAGUGGAAAGCUGAUUGUAACGGAAGAGGAAGGGACGGCUAACUCUGUGCCAGCAGCCGCGGUAAUACAGAGGUCCCAAGCGUUGUUCGGAUUCACUGGGCGUAAAGGGUGCGUAGGUGGUCGGGUAAGUCUGAUGUGAAAUCUCGGAGCUCAACUCCGAAACUGCAUUGGAUACUAUCCGGCUAGAGGGUCGGAGGGGGGACUGGAAUUCUCGGUGUAGCAGUGAAAUGCGUAGAUAUCGAGAGGAACACCAGUGGCGAAGGCGAGUCCCUGGACGACUCCUGACACUGAGGCACGAAAGCUAGGGGAGCAAACAGGAUUAGAUACCCCCGUAGUCC